RNAcentral lists this long non-coding RNA (3040 nucleotides) under Homo sapiens (human). Its description in RNAcentral is "HSALNT0385806". Lineage: Eukaryota; Metazoa; Chordata; Mammalia; Primates; Hominidae. The record is from RNAcentral.
GCGGCGAGGCGGGUGGCGCGCGGCAGCAGGGUUGGGCUCUCGCCGUGAGUCGACGAAGGGAGCGCGGGCGCGCGCCCGCGUCCGCGCACUGAGAGUCGCCUCGGCCGCUCGCUUUCUCGACUCCCGCCUCGCGCCUCGAUCCUGUUCCGCCUCCCUCGGCCCUCCUGCCCGCCCCCACUCGUCGGCCCUCAGGUUCCUGGAAAGUGAAAAUUUCAUUUCUUUGUGGACAGGUACCUAAAAUGUCUCAUUAUUCAUCAAUUAAUGAAAAACAAAUGAAAAUUUGAGAGAGAUAUUCUGAAGAAUAAAAGGAUCAAGUUGGGUCAUUUCUAAAAUGUAAGAUUAUAAGGUUUAACUUGCUAAGACUUUUGAGGGGUUGAAUUAUUGGUAAAUUAUUAUAGAACCACUUAUCUGAGGCUUUUAAAAGUGAUGUGUUACAGAGAUUUAGGGAACUGCAAGAUUGCAGAUAAAGAAUUUAUACUGUCAACUGUUCUAUACUUUACCUUCUGCUUUAAAUGCGGCCUUAUAUUUUGAAGUCAAACAUUUAUUUUCUCUCACUGCGUUCUGAAUUUCCUACCACAGUGCAUUUUGAGAAAUGAAUAUAACAGCAGUCUUCAUAGAUGCCAUAUUCAUGGCAACUCUGUCCCCCGCCAACACCACACCCUGGAAAAAAACCAACUUUCUAUUGUUGGAAUGAGGUAACAUUUUCAGGAAAAGGGAACCAUUUUCUCACAGGAUAUAGAACAAAUUCAACCUUUUAUUAAAUCAAAAUGGAUUCUCUAAUGUUUAUACAUAUCAUAUAGGAUUUCAUCUCUUUCAAUCUUGGUUCAAAGGCCCAGACAGUACCAUUCCCUAGUAUUUAGUCCAUUUGCUCAUAAAGCAGAAGAGAAAAGCUACUUUGUUCCGAAGGGUGUUAGAUUUAGGAUUCCAAGGUUAUUUCAAAUUAAUGCCUGGAACUAGACUAUAAAAUGCAGGAAAGAUUCUAAGUUGUUCAAAGAUGAAAUAUCUUAACUUUCACCAAAAACUCUGUCUUCUGGGUAUUUUUUGUUUUUCUGCCUUUCCAGAUUUAUUUUAAAUACAACAUUUUUGCUGUUUACAUUUUUAAAAGUUACAUUUCAAAAUUGUUCAUAAUUGGACACUUUCAUAAAAUGUAGGCAAAUGCAGUUUUACUUUUUAAUGAAGGACAAGUCUGUUGAUAACAUUUUGAUUCUUAAAAUUUUUUUUAUCUUAUAAAAAUGAAACAAUGCAUUUAAAGUGUCUUCAGCUCUUAUGUUAAUACCAAAUUAUACAUUUUCUUAGCCCAUGUUCAGGAGAGACAAUAUAUCUUCCAAAUUAAGAGAAGCUGGCACCAUUUUUAAAACAAGGCCUUGAAUCUGCUGUGGUAUGUGCUGGUAGGAAUUUUGUAUGAAGCUGUUAUUGAAGUAGAUGACAUUAAGGUCAAAGGAAAAAAAAAACAGAAAAUAAUGUAAUCCUACAGAGCUGCUCUUAAGAUCUUGAGAGAAAAACCACGUAGGUAACAUCAAACACUAGUUGGAAUCUUUCCAAGAAGUAAUUAUCUGUGUGCUGUUUGUGGUGGUUGAUUAUGGGAACAAACCAAGGUUUAGCCAAUUCAGCAAACAUUUAUGGAGUGCCUGCAAUGUGCAUGUCACUGUUUUAAGGCCUGUGCCUACUGUAAAGGUGACCCACACAUGAUGCCUGCCUUGCAGGACUUGGAGUUCAGCGAUAAUAAGAGAUGCAUACCUGAAAAGCCUAUUUAAGACUCUUCCGGUUCUACAAAGAAGGCUUCUUGAAAGUGGUAGCUUUGAUUACUCUUUGGAUUUAUUUACAUUUAUCCUAUAAUCAGAAGGUAUACAAAACAGACUCACACAUAUAUAAAAUUAAUAGAUUAGAUAGCAUUUAAACAAAUAUUUCAGGUAGGUACUUCAAAUGCAUUUGACAUUUAUCAAAGAAAUGGUAAGUGCUGUCAUCCGUGGGUGGCUGGAUUAACAUGUGGGACUACUUAUCACCAAUUUUGUUAGGGAUCUUAGGGAAAUUCCUGGAUCUUAUAUUCACAAGCAAUUGUAUAAAUACUUCCCACAGCUCAGAGACCUAAUAGGAUGGGGUCUUAGAGAAACAUCUUUUGAGCCACAGACUUCUUUGUUACCAGAAGGAAAAUGAAAGAAGAAAUUUAAAUACCACUUGAAGAGAGGUGCUGCCCAGUUCAUGAGUGCUGCUGCUGUCCUGCCCAAGUACCCAGCUUGCAGAGUGCCAGAGUUAGAGUCCCAGGGGUGUUCUCCACAGCUGCAUGCUUGAUCCAGGCCUAUCAGAUAUAUUCCAUUGAAAGUCCUCAUUCUCAAAUUUAAAACAAAGACUUUUUGUGUACCUCAAUAGCAAUGCACACACAGUUGGCUUCACAAACAUAUUGUACAUUUCUUUUUUUCAUAUUUAUUCAACAAAUGUAUAUUGACUACCCACCGUGUGACAGGUGUUAUUUGUUGACGGAACCAGGCAUCAUCAGCAAACAAAACUGACAAAGCUUCCUGCCCUCUGUGGAAGGCAUCUGAGGAAGAGACUGGAUUUUGUAGCAACAUGUUAUUCUCAUUAUAAACUUUAUCAUUGGAAUACUAAAGCCAAAUCAUCCCCCAUCUCCUUGAUCAGGAUACCCACUUAAUCUAGGCAGCUACACAAUUGUGAGAGCCUUUGUUUUUUUCUGCUGAAACAUCCUUAAAAAGAUACCUCACAACCCAAGAUUUGGCUUUUCUUAAAUACGAUUUUUAAUUUUUUUCAUUUCUAUCUAGAGAUUUAAUUGGAAAUGGAAAAUCAUCAAUUUUCCAAUUAAAUGUCUGUUCCAAUCAACAUUAUACCUUUUAGGUUGUCAUUGUCAUUUUUAAGUUUAAGCAACUUUAAGGAUUUUGAAUCUGGCUGCCUGUAAAUUAAAGGUGAAAGUAAUCAUUGUGUUGGAUUGGAACAUUUUGUCAAUUGAGAGUGGUUUCCUUGUUCUUAGUGUAUGAAAAGUUUAUUUUUCUAAUGUAGAUUAAUAAAGGAGAUAAAGAAAAACAAAAUG